RNAcentral lists this ribosomal RNA (251 nucleotides) under Heyndrickxia sporothermodurans. RNAcentral's name for it is "Bacillus sporothermodurans partial 16S ribosomal RNA". It matches the Rfam family "Bacterial small subunit ribosomal RNA", at positions 1283 to 1533 of the family's 1533-position model. Lineage: Bacteria; Bacillati; Bacillota; Bacilli; Caryophanales; Bacillaceae. The record is from RNAcentral.
CAUUCUCAGUUCGGAUUGUAGGCUGCAACUCGCCUACAUGAAGCCGGAAUCGCUAGUAAUCGCGGAUCAGCAUGCCGCGGUGAAUACGUUCCCGGGCCUUGUACACACCGCCCGUCACACCACGAGAGUUUGUAACACCCGAAGUCGGUGAGGUAACCUUUUGGAGCCAGCCGCCGAAGGUGGGACAGAUGAUUGGGGUGAAGUCGUAACAAGGUAGCCGUAUCGGAAGGUGCGGCUGGAUCACCUCCUUU